This 387-nucleotide unclassified non-coding RNA is filed under the name soil metagenome. RNAcentral describes it as "partial contains 5.8S ribosomal RNA, internal transcribed spacer 2, and large subunit ribosomal RNA". The stretch from base 1 to 120 matches the Rfam family "5.8S ribosomal RNA", at positions 35 to 154 of the family's 154-position model. The record is from RNAcentral.
GAUGAAGAACGUAGCGAAAUGCGAUAAGUAAUGUGAAUUGCAGUAUUCAGUGAAUCAUCGAAUCUUUGAACGCACCUUGCGCUCCUUGGUAUUCCGAGGAGCAUGCCUGUUUGAGUGUCAUGAAAUUCUCAACCUUUUCAGCUUUCUUUGUUGAUCAGGCUUGGAUGUGGGAGUAUGCGGGCUUCUCAGAAGUCGGCUCUCCUGAAAUGCAUUAGCGGGACCUUUGUUGCCUGGCUUUGGUGUGAUAAUUAUCUACGCCAUUGUAGUCAAGCAGCUUAAAAUGAGGUUUCAGCUUCUAACCGUCUCCCCUGAGACAACUUUUUGACAAUUUGACCUCAAAUCAGGUAGGACUACCCGCUGAACUUAAGCAUAUCAAUAAGCGGAGGA